GAAAUGCGAUACGUAGUGCGAAUUGCAGAAUUCAGUGAAUCAUCAAAUUCUUGAACGCAAAUUGCGCUUCCGGGAUAGACCUGGGAGCACGCUUCUUUGAGUAUCGGCUCACCAUCAAUCGGCAGCGUUGCCAAAAGCAACGCAGCUGGAGCUGAGUGUCACUGCCGAGUGUGCUAUUCGUGGCUGUGUCACUUGAAGUACAGAGCGCGAGUGCGAAAGGUUCAUCUUGAAUCAUCGACAUCGGGACAAACAAUGGGUACACACAUCCCAACACUUGCUUGUCAUCUAAACCGUUGUCAAUGGUUUUGAACCUGGCACAUGCGAAUUGGAAUUAACGAAAGCUUGACUUUCACAGAAAUGAUCUCAGAUGAAGCGAGAAAACCCGCCGGACUUAA
Molecule: unclassified non-coding RNA, 395 nt
Filed under: uncultured fungus
Lineage: Eukaryota; Fungi
Description: sequence contains ITS1
Rfam family: 5.8S ribosomal RNA (bases 1-106)
Source: RNAcentral